GACGAACGCUGGCGGCGUGCUUAACACAUGCAAGUCGAACGGAAAGGCCCUGCUUUUGUGGGGUGCUCGAGUGGCGAACGGGUGAGUAACACGUGAGUAACCUGCCCUUGACUUUGUGAUAACUUCAGGAAACUGGGGCUAAUACCGGCUAGGAGCUCCUGCUGCAUGGGGGGGGUUGGAAAGUUUCGGCGGUUGGGGAUGGACUCGCGGCUUAUCAGCUUGUUGGUUGGGUAGUGGCUUACCAAGGCUUUGACGGGUAGCCGGCCUGAGAGGGUGACCGGCCACAUGGGGACUGAGAUACGGCCCAGACUCCUACGGGAGGCAGCAGUGGGGAAUAUUGCACAAUGGGCGGAAGCCUGAUGCAGCAACGCCGCGUGCGGGAUGACGGCCUUCGGGUUGUAAACCGCUUUCGCCUGUGACGAAGCGUGAGUGACGGUAAUGGGUAAAGAAGCACCGGCUAACUACGUG
Molecule: ribosomal RNA, 468 nt
Filed under: uncultured bacterium
Lineage: Bacteria
Description: partial 16S ribosomal RNA
Rfam family: Bacterial small subunit ribosomal RNA
Source: RNAcentral